RNAcentral lists this ribosomal RNA (385 nucleotides) under uncultured methanogenic archaeon. RNAcentral describes it as "bacterial SSU rRNA". It matches the Rfam family "Archaeal small subunit ribosomal RNA", at positions 474 to 859 of the family's 1478-position model. The record is from RNAcentral. Lineage: Archaea; Methanobacteriati; Methanobacteriota.
UACCUGCAGCCCAAGUGGUGGUCGAUUUUAUUGAGUCUAAAACGUUCGUAGCCGGUUUGGUAAAUCUUUGGGUAAAUCGGGAGGCUCAACUUUCCGACUUCCGAAGAGACUGUCAAACUUGGGACCGGGAGAGGCUAGAGGUACUUCUGGGGUAGGGGUAAAAUCCUGUAAUCCUAGAAGGACCACCGGUGGCGAAGGCGUCUAGCUAGAACGGAUCCGACGGUGAGGGACGAAGCCCUGGGUCGCAAACGGGAUUAGAUACCCCGGUAGUCCAGGGUGUAAACGCUGCAGACUUGGUGUUGGAGGCCCUUCGGGGGCACUCAGUGCCGGAGAGAAGUUGUUAAUUCUGCUACUUGGGGAGUACGUCCGCAAGGAUGAAACUUAA